UAUUAAUUUAAAUUAUUUUGGCAGAUUAGUGUAAUGAAUUUAGAAUUCAUAAAAGUAAAAUAUUUUACAAGUAAUAC
This 77-nucleotide transfer RNA is filed under the name Trechus croaticus. RNAcentral's name for it is "transfer RNA-Leu". The record is from RNAcentral. Lineage: Eukaryota; Metazoa; Arthropoda; Insecta; Coleoptera; Carabidae.